RNAcentral lists this ribosomal RNA (1694 nucleotides) under Catharanthus roseus (Madagascar periwinkle). RNAcentral's name for it is "SSU rRNA". It matches the Rfam family "Eukaryotic small subunit ribosomal RNA". Lineage: Eukaryota; Viridiplantae; Streptophyta; Magnoliopsida; Gentianales; Apocynaceae. The record is from RNAcentral.
CCUAGUUGAUCUUGCCUGUAGUCAUAUGCUUGUAUCAAAGAUUAAGCCAUGCAUGUGUAAGUAUGAACUAAUUCAGAGUGUGUAACUACGAAUGGCUCAUUAAAACAGUUAUAGUUUGUUUGAUGGUAUCUUCUACUCGGAUAAUCGUAGUAAUUCUAGAGCUAAUACGUCCAACAAACCCCGACUUCUGGAAGGGAUGAUUUAUUAGAUAUAAGCUCGACGUGGGCUCAGCCCGUUGCUGCGAUGAUUCAUGAUAAGUCGACAGAUCCCACGGCCCUCGUGCCGGCAACGCAUUAUUCAAAUUUCUGCCCUAUCAACUUUCCAUGGUAGGAUAGUGGCCUACCAUGGUGGUGAAAAGUGACGGAGAAUUAGGGUUCGACUCCGGAGAAGGAGCCUGAGAAAUGGCUAACGCAUCCAAGGAAGGCAACAGACGUGCAAAUUACUUAAUACUGACACGGGGAGGUAGUGACAAUAAAUAACAAUACCGGGCUCUUUGAGUCUGGUAAUUGGAAUGAAUACGAUCUAAAUCCCUUAAUGACGAUCCAUUGGAGGGCAAGUCUGGUGCUAGCAACCUCGGUAAUUCCAGCUCUAAUAGCAUAUAUUUAAGUUGUUGUAGUUAUAAAGCUCGUAGUUAGACUUUUGGAUGGGCUGGCUGGUCCACCAAUCUGUGUGCACCGAUCAUCUCAUCCCUUCUGCCGGUGAUGUGUUCCUUGCCUUAAUUGGUUGGUUCGUGCCUCCAGCACUGUUACUCUGAAGAAAUUAGGGUGUUCAAAGCAAGCCUAUGCUCUUGAUAUAUUAGAAUGAGAUAACAAUAUAGAUUUUGGUCCUAUUCUUUUGGCCUUCGGGAUAGGAGUAAUUAUUAACAGGGACAGUCGGGGGCAUUCAUAUUUCAUGGUCCGAGUUGAAAUUCUUGGAUUGAUUAAAGAUGAACAACUGGGAAAGCAUUUGCCAAUGAUAAUUUCAUUAAUCAAGAACGAAAGUUGGGGGCUCAAAGAUGAUCAGAUACCGUCCUAGUCUCAACCAUAAACGAUGUUGACCAGGAAUUUGCGGAUAUUGCUUUAAGGACUCCACCAGCACCUUAUGAGAAAUCAAAGUUUUUUGGUCCCGGGGGAGUAUGGUGGCAAGGUUGAAACUUAAAGGAAUUGAAGGAAGGACACCACCAAGAGUGGAGCCUGUGACUUAAUUUGACUCAACACGAGGAAAGUUACUAGGUCCAGACAUAGUAAGGAUUGACAAAGUUAGAGCUCUUUCUUGAUUCUAUGGGUGGUGGUGUAUGGCCGUUCUUAGUUGGUGGAGCUAUUUGUCUGGUUAAGUCCGUUAACGAACGAGACCUCAGCCUGUUAACUAGCUAUGCGGAGGAAUCCCUCCACAGCUAGCUUCUUAGAGGGACUACGACCUUUUUGGCAGCGAAAUUUGAGGCAAUAACAGGUAUGUGAUUCCCUUAGAUGUUCCGGGCUGCACGUGCGCUAUAGCCUUGGUCAUUGUUGGUUUUCAACGAGGAAUUCCUAGUAAGCACGAGUCAUCAGCUCGUGUUAACUACAUCCUUGCCCUUGGUACACAUCGCCCGUCGCUUCUAUCGAUUUAAUGGGUACCUGUCCUUGGAAGCUAAGGCAGAAUGUUCUUCUUGAUUCUAUGGGUGGUGGUGCAUGCAUUCAUAGCCUAGAGGCAGAGGAUUCUUUCUUUUUUCUUUUUUU